GAUGAACGCUGGCGGCGUGCCUAACACAUGCAAGUCGAACGGAAAGACGAUAAGCUUUUUCUUUUGAGGGUAGCGGCGGACGGGUGGGUAAUAAAUGGAUAGUCAACUUCUAUCUCUUGGGGGAUAACGGCAGGCAAGUGCUGCUAAUACAUAAUAUAUUGUACCGGUUGGAUCAAGGGUGCUUGACAGCUUUGGUGUCUGUUAUAGAUGGUUUCGCGCCGUAUUAGCGAGUUGGUAAGGUAACGGCCUACCAAGGCGACGAUGCGUAGCCGACCUGAGAGGAUGAUCGGCCACACUGGAACUGAGACACGGUCCAGACUCCUACGGGAGGCAGCAGUGGGGAAUAUUGGGCAAUGGGCGCAAGCCUGACGGAGCCACGCCGCGUGGGUGAUGAAGGUCUUCGGAUCGUAAAGCUCUGUUAUUAGGGAAGAACAAAUGCGGAAGUAACUAUGGACGUCUUGACGGUACCUAAAGAAAAAGCCCCGGCUAACUUCGUG
This 497-nucleotide ribosomal RNA is filed under the name uncultured bacterium. RNAcentral's name for it is "partial 16S ribosomal RNA". It matches the Rfam family "Bacterial small subunit ribosomal RNA", at positions 28 to 507 of the family's 1533-position model. The record is from RNAcentral.